RNAcentral lists this long non-coding RNA (712 nucleotides) under Homo sapiens (human). RNAcentral's name for it is "HSALNT0080866". The record is from RNAcentral. Lineage: Eukaryota; Metazoa; Chordata; Mammalia; Primates; Hominidae.
CCUCUGUUGGUUUUUCCUUCUAUUCCUGAACUCUAAAUGCUGGCGUUUCUGACGGAUGGGUCUAGUCUUCUCUUCUCUAUCUGUGUUUUCUCCCUCGGGGACCUCAUUCAGUCCCAUGAAACGACCUACCUGCUGAUGGCCCCAAAUGCACAUCUCCAGAGUGGCCUCUCUUCUGGACUUUGGCAUCAUACAACCUACAAUCUAUGAUCAGUAGGCCUUAAUGGCUCUACCUGGACGCCUAGCAGGUAGCAUGCCAGUUCCCUGAGAAAAACGACUUUGCUUCUCUGGUUUUCUGUCUAGAAGAGUGACUGGCACAUAGUAGGCCCUCAACCAAUAUUUGCUGAACAUAAUUAAGCAGAGGGAUGUAGACUUGAACGUUCAUGGCAGGUUUAGUGUACCUGUGAGGCAUACAGCGGGGCUGCAGGGAGCAAUCAGAAGUGAGUCUGAAGACAAGUUUGAAUAAACAAAGAAAUGACAAUGUCUGAUUGUCAAAGUGCUUUUGUCUGAUUUUAAUUAUUUUUAAUUCAUUUGAAAAGCAUUGUUGGAGUAUCUACUGUAUAUGGGUCCCUGCAUCAGUCCACCUGGACACAAGUGAUCAAGGUCCUGAAGCACUCAGACUGGUUGGGAGAUAGGUGAUUUUGGGUGUUGUGAGAACCCCUGGAAAGAACAUAGAACUGCAUCUUUUUGAUGAAGUGGGGAAUAGUAAGAAGGG